RNAcentral lists this ribosomal RNA (253 nucleotides) under uncultured bacterium. Its description in RNAcentral is "partial 16S ribosomal RNA". It matches the Rfam family "Bacterial small subunit ribosomal RNA", at positions 524 to 776 of the family's 1533-position model. The record is from RNAcentral.
UACGUAGGCAGCGAGCGUUGUUCGGAGUUACUGGGCGUAAAGAGUGCGUAGGCGGUUUUCUAAGUUUGGUGUGAAAUCUCCCGGCUUAACUGGGAGGGUGCGCCGAAGACUGGAAGGCUUGAGUAUGGGAGAGGUAAGCGGAAUUCCUGGUGUAGCGGUGAAAUGCGCAGAUAUCAGGAGGAACACCGGUGGCGAAGGCGGGUCUCUGGGCCGAUACUGACGCUGAGGAGCGAAAGCGUGGGGAGCGAACAGG